Canis lupus familiaris (dog) is the source of this 804-nucleotide long non-coding RNA. RefSeq lists it as uncharacterized. The record is from RefSeq and is a predicted model, not a curated record. The transcript has 4 exons. NCBI's taxonomy places the organism in Eukaryota, Metazoa, Chordata, Mammalia, Carnivora, Canidae.
CGUCUGCUCCCAGCGUCCAGCGCGCCCCGAGGUCUCGCGCGCUUUCGGGUAACCCCUCGGUAACCCCCUGGAAAGCCCUCGCGGGCCCCGCGGCCUCCACCCUCGCGCCCGCGCUCCGCUCUCUCCACAAGCCGCCGUGUGUCCCCCGCGCCCGCCACGCAGCCUUACUUUGACUCGUCUCUGCAUGUGGCUCCGCCAUUCCCGCUGCACCAGGAGAGACUCGUCCGCCUCCUCGUCAAACACGUCCCCUUCCUCUCCGGGACCCCGGACCAGCGGGGCCCUCUGAACCCACGACAUCACCGAGGCAACCGCAGGGCGGCCGGGCGCCGGAAGCGCCCGCAACGUCUUCCGAGGCAGAAACCAUUUACUUCACAGUCUUGCUGAGAAGGAAAUGCUAGAGCAGGCCUGGAUGAGGGAGAUGGGGCCAGCAUGGAGUGCAGCUCCAAGAUAGCUCAGAGGUCAGUCCACAUGACAUUCUUGAGUGCUCUGAGGAAUCAAUCUUAGAAUCUGUCAGUCUGUUCAGCUGCUGUAACAGAAUAAGGUGGACUGGGUGGCUUAUGAAUCACAGAAAUUUACCUCUUCGGGUUAUGGUGGUGGGAAGAUCAAGUUCAAGUUCAAGUUCACCCAUCGAGCCUGGUUGGUUGUAGAUGAAGGUCCUCUUCUGGGUUGCAGACUGGCGACAUCUCAUUAUGUUCUCACAUGGCAGAAGGUGGGCAAGCAGCUCUCUGGGGCUUCUUUAUUAAAGUCACAGAGAGAGAGAGAGAGAGAGAGAGCCAGAGAGAGAAGCAGGCUCCAUGCACCAGG